UCAAACUCUGAGUUUCACCUGCCUCUGCUUC
RNAcentral lists this non-coding RNA (31 nucleotides) under Rattus norvegicus (Norway rat). The record is from RNAcentral. Lineage: Eukaryota; Metazoa; Chordata; Mammalia; Rodentia; Muridae.